Long non-coding RNA from Drosophila subpulchrella, 561 nucleotides. RefSeq lists it as uncharacterized. The record is from RefSeq and is a predicted model, not a curated record. The transcript is spliced from 3 exons. Lineage: Eukaryota; Metazoa; Arthropoda; Insecta; Diptera; Drosophilidae.
AACUUUUUUCUUGAAAUAAUGGCGAAAUCGCCCUUGGUUUUUGGACAAAACAUUAUUUUUCAUCACAGAAAGGGUGGACAAUUUUGGUACAUUUUUAUACUGUGUGCGGUCACACUAAGGCAAUGACAAUGAUUUUCGUGGUUUCUGUCCUUCGGAUGUUCAGCUCGCAAAAAACUUAGAGUUUAAAAGUGAACAAAAAUUGUGAAAAAUGGACUUUGUUUUAAAACAAUUGGACGGGGAAGCCUUUAAAUCAAUUUUCAUCGGUAAAAGAGCAUAAAGGUAAACUCUUUCUAAAAGAACUUGGCGGAAAGUCUGAGGAUACUCAAAAUGUUCUUCUACUAUUGCUGUUGCACUCCAAAUAUCAAAAAUGCUUAAUAGAUGAUUCCAGAAAUAAAUUUUUAAUUUGGAAAUCGACGAUUGGAGAACUGCAAGAUUACAUCUCUGGCGAAGUCAACUCUUAGUUUGGAAAUAAGACCAGUUUUCAACCACUGAUUUGUUGCAUCGGAAGUGGACCUCACAACCAGGAACAUUUUUAUGUAUAUGUUUCAGGUAUAUUUUAUA